RNAcentral lists this unclassified non-coding RNA (902 nucleotides) under Hevea brasiliensis (rubber tree). Lineage: Eukaryota; Viridiplantae; Streptophyta; Magnoliopsida; Malpighiales; Euphorbiaceae. The record is from RNAcentral.
AACCGUUCAAUUUCCUUCCAUUAAGAAGGUCUCCACUAUCAUAUUGUUCUCUUAUUAUUCCCCUCUGCAACUUACUUUUGCUUUUCUAUCUCUACAGUCAUGGUUCUGGAUUUUAAUUUGCAAGGAAGGUUAAGAUCGGGAUCCAUGGAUUUUGAAGGAUGGGAAGGUUGGUGGCCAGAGUGGCCCUGUAAAGAGACGAUGUUGAGCUCAUCUCAGUUCAUGAUCCCUUCAUUUCCGUUGAAUACAUGGUAAUUACUUCUCAAACUCUGUACAUGGAGAUUGAUUUUUUUUUUCUUUUAAUUUCAUUUUAUUUCCAUUUUUUUUUUUGUCCACUCUAUUGAGGUGAUGCUGGUUUUUGUAAGUAUGAUACAAUUCACAAUCAAUGGAAGCAACAUGAGUUAAAAGGUUAAGGAUGAUAGACUUUUCUCUUAAAGAGAAGGAGAUUGAACAACUGUGCUUUGGGCAAAACGCAGUUGUUUUUUCAUGAUGUUAACCAUGAUAUACCCAUGGCUAACUAAUGUAGGCCCCAUAUUUAAAUAUUAUUAUUUUGUACUGACCUGGCUGCCACAUGUGCAUUUCCAAACCCCAUUCUACAGUUGAGUCUAAUUUACGAAAAUAGGCCAAAAUUAACUAAAAAAUUAGUUUUGGUUAAAAUUGAGAAUUCGAGUAAAGUUUUGGCCAAAAUUGACUGUUAGGCCUUAUUUAUUUUUAAUGCAUUUAGAUAUACCUUAUAGUCAUACCAUUAUUUCAUCAUUGAGUUCCUUACAACUUUAAUGCACAUUCCCACAAGGUUACAAAAAUAAGGGUCUACAACAUGUAAGAUAAAGGUAGUUCAAUCAAUUUAUAAUAAACUUUUAUCUUUUAACACAUCCUUCCAAGAACUGUAUGACCAGUUAUCUUUU